GAUGAACGCUGGCGGCGUGCCUAAUACAUGCAAGUCGAGCGAACAGACGAGGAGCUUGCUCCUCGGACGUUAGCGGCGGACGGGUGAGUAACACGUGGAUAACCUACCUAUAAGACUGGGAUAACUUCGGGAAACCGGAGCUAAUACCGGAUAAUAUAUUGAACCGCAUGGUUCAAUAGUGAAAGACGGUUUUGCUGUCACUUAUAGAUGGAUCCGCGCCGCAUUAGCUAGUUGGUAAGGUAACGGCUUACCAGGGCAACGAUGCGUAGCCGACCUGAGAGGGUGAUCGGCCACACUGGAACUGAGACACGGUCCAGACUCCUACGGGAGGCAGCAGUAGGGAAUCUUCCGCAAUGGGCGAAAGCUUGACGGAGCAACGCCGCGUGAGUGAUGAAGGUCUUCGGAUCGUAAAACUCUGUUAUUAGGGAAGAACAAAUGUGUAAGUAACUAUGCACGUCUUGACGGUACCUAAUCAGAAAGCCACGGCUAACUACGUG
RNAcentral lists this ribosomal RNA (497 nucleotides) under uncultured bacterium. RNAcentral describes it as "partial 16S ribosomal RNA". It matches the Rfam family "Bacterial small subunit ribosomal RNA", at positions 28 to 507 of the family's 1533-position model. The record is from RNAcentral.